RNAcentral lists this ribosomal RNA (256 nucleotides) under uncultured bacterium. RNAcentral's name for it is "partial 16S ribosomal RNA". It matches the Rfam family "Bacterial small subunit ribosomal RNA", at positions 524 to 776 of the family's 1533-position model. The record is from RNAcentral.
UACGUAGGGUGCAAGCGUUGUCCGGAAUUAUUGGGCGUAAAGAGCUUGUAGGCGGUUUGUCGCGUCUGCUGUGAAAUUUCGGGGCUCAACCCCCGAACUUGCAGUGGGUACGGGCAGACUAGAGUGUGGUAGGGGAGACUGGAAUUCCUGGUGUAGCGGUGAAAUGCGCAGAUAUCAGGAGGAACACCGAUGGCGAAGGCAGGUCUCUGGGCCAUAACUGACGCUGAGAAGCGAAAAGCAUGGGGAGCGAAACAGG